GUGUGUAUCUAGCUGUGAUAAUACCAAUAUGUACAUGAAGCUUCGAAAAACAGUAACAUGUUGAUUGCAGGCCCGGGAACCGGCUCAUAUAUUGGGCUAAGACUUGUUUGUUUUACGCGAUUUAAUAUGAACGGAGUCAAUAAGGACAUUUCGAUGUUACUCGCGAACUCGCAGUGUGCACGCAAGGCACACCGUUUGAGGUUUGCGUCUAGCGAGCUUUAUUUCUGUUUUUGAUCGCCUUCGCGUUGUGACUUAAAAAAACAUUGCGAGGAAAUGUCAAAUCAUUUCCUAAAUAAUUACCUCCUCAAAAUUCAGUUUUCACAGGUAAACGCUCGUCGUCGUGUGAAGAUCGCGAAGCUUGCGAGUGAUAUCGAAACGCAGCUAAUGUCGAUAGUUGUCGUGUGCGACGGAUGUUAUAUUAAAAUCGGAAUUUUCAACCCUUUUUUUCGCCAACAAAAGGAGAAAUUGUUGGGUCGGGUCCGCCAAAACCUAACGUUAAUUUAAAAUUUACAGUGACAAGCGUCACGCAGAAAUUUCAUUGAAAAGUGCAUUCGGUUAACCGGAAGUUGCAAAUAGAUUAUUUUGCUGGCCGUGUCUUUUUUUCGCGAGCAAUAAAUAGGUUUUAAGGUAAAACAUCUUCAGACAUUACUAAACUAGAUUGCUUUGCAUCUCAGCGAACAGAGUUCAUGGAAUCCAUUUGGAGGACACAUUGUGACUUUUCGAGUGAUUAUUACCUUGCAGAUCGGUUUUUAUUAUGAAGGAAAAUUAAGAUCUCGCCCGUGGAGAGGGGAGGUAAAAAUGUUGAUUCUUGAAAUAAAAAAGUUAAUAAUCAAUAUUGACAACUCAAUUGAAUUGAUAUUAAACGUUUCGCUGGUGGGAUAUAGACAGAAUCAAAAUGAAAGUUGAUGCAAAAUUACAAAUAACACAAAAUGGAGUGGCAAGUGUGGUCAUAGAAGAUUAACCUCGCUUAGAGAUGAGCGAAAAAUAAGAGAUAUUGGGGGACGGAAUAAAUAAUGGGCGUUUUACAAGAGAUGACGCUGAUAGUUGAAAUGUACAGAGUAUUUUUUUAAUCAUCCAUUUUUCAAUCAAAUGGAAAUUUUUAACCAAAUGGAAAAGUUUGAGAAGUUUUGUUUCACCCGCUUUACUCUCCGGACAUUGCAUUUUCGGACUAUCAUUUGUUCUGAUCGACGCAAAGAAUUUUACACAACCAGCAUUUCAAAAACUACUCAAAAGCCAAAAAUUGGAAUACUUUACUUAAUUUCAGCUGUAAAUGUUUUUUAAA
Molecule: RNA transcript, 1282 nt
Organism: Hermetia illucens (black soldier fly)
Lineage: Eukaryota; Metazoa; Arthropoda; Insecta; Diptera; Stratiomyidae
Exons: 4
Source: RefSeq, a predicted model, not a curated record